Molecule: non-coding RNA, 65 nt
Filed under: Citrobacter amalonaticus
Lineage: Bacteria; Pseudomonadati; Pseudomonadota; Gammaproteobacteria; Enterobacterales; Enterobacteriaceae
Source: RNAcentral
UUCAGUACGACAUUGCUCACAUUGCUUCCAGUAUGUCUUGCCCGCCUCUGUGCGGGCUUUUUUUU